This is a long non-coding RNA of Lingula anatina, 647 nucleotides long. The record is from RefSeq and is a predicted model, not a curated record. Lineage: Eukaryota; Metazoa; Brachiopoda; Lingulata; Lingulida; Lingulidae.
UACUUAAAUCUGCUCUUUGAGGACAAAGUGGGAUUUUUUUUAUUCUCAUUCUUUUCCAUUUAAGAUGGAAUAACAUUGACAUAAUACUGUUGUGGUUUUUGUACUUGACGGCAUUUAGGAGCGGGGACAUUUUUCCACUCCACUGCUGUAUCUGAAUGCUUGUCGUAAAGAUACGCAGGCUUGUUUAUCAAGAAGUGUGCUCUGCUUCCUGGACUAGGACAGUAAAUUCACAGGGAUUUUCUCUACUUAUGACCAUUAAAACUAUGCACAUGACUGAUUCGAAAUGUCCCUGGAGAUACUGACUCUAGUUCGUCGAGAAAAGUGAAUUAUCCUGGAUAAGUGAACUACUGGGACUGGUACAGUAUUGAAUUGGACUUGGACAGCAAGAUAUCAUCUUACAGCCUGCCUCCUUGUCAUUUCUAGAACUCUCCAGUGACUGAGGCCCAAGUAUCUAGAGAAGACGACAGAGGAUUGCGCCAGGAGAAUGGUUGUAAUGACAGAUCACCUGUGGAACUGACUCAUAUGCUUCAGAAGCAGGUCCAAUAUUUUAACCACCUGUUUUUAUGUGGUAAGUGGUACUUUGUAAAAUAAUUACACUUAACAGUUUUUAAAACUUUUGAUUAUAGAAAAAAUGUGCAGUUUGAUGA